UGGCGGCGAGCGGCGAACGGGUGAGUAAUGCAUCGGAACGUGUCCUCUUGUGGGGGAUAACCAGUCGAAAGACUGGCUAAUACCGCAUGAGAUCGAAAGAUGAAAGCAGGGGACCGCAAGGCCUUGCGCGAGAGGAGCGGCCGAUGCCGGAUUAGCUAGUUGGUGGGGUAAAAGCCUACCAAGGCGACGAUCCGUAGCUGGUCUGAGAGGACGACCAGCCACACUGGGACUGAGACACGGCCCAGACUCCUACGGGAGGCAGCAGUGGGGAAUUUUGGACAAUGGGGGCAACCCUGAUCCAGCCAUGCCGCGUGUGUGAAGAAGGCCUUCGGGUUGUAAAGCACUUUCAGCCGGAACGAAAUCGCGCGAUCUAAUAAGUCGCGUGGAUGACGGUACCGGAAGAAGAAGCACCGGCUAACUACGUGCCCGCAGCCGCGGUAAUACGUAGGGUGCGAG
RNAcentral lists this ribosomal RNA (456 nucleotides) under uncultured bacterium. RNAcentral's name for it is "bacterial SSU rRNA". It matches the Rfam family "Bacterial small subunit ribosomal RNA", at positions 86 to 538 of the family's 1533-position model. The record is from RNAcentral.